AGUUCAUCUGGAAGCUACCCUUGAUUGCCUCUCUUCCACACUGCCAGGCACAUGACCGGUGAGGGGGGUGGAGGCCGCUGUGCUGGGUCACAGAACGCUUGGUUGGUGAGGGGGCACCAUGGCCUCCACCCGCUUUGGGCGGGCCUCCCUACCCUCUGGACUUUGCCCCACUGCUCUGGUGGGCCUGUGGCAGGCUGGGGUUGGAAUUGGUCCCUGAUGAAAAGCCAGGAUGCUCAGGGGCAAGGCACUCACCUCCGCCGUUCUUGUAGCACAGCCUGGAAUCUCGUUUCCCGGUGGACCAUCCUUCACCAAGGUUGUCCUGCCUGCCUAAUGUUUCCUCUUCACUUCCCAAUUAGGACCUAGGGAGAGUUGGAUAUCCAGGUGCAAAGUUUCUUGGUCCCUGCACCAAACAUGGAACCAAAGUCCUCCUGGAGAAACAAAGGCCAUAGAAGAGUUACUCAUAGUUACUCAUAGCACAUAUAUCCUGGAAGAUCUGGAGCCAUCCAAGGAACAAGGAGAGGGGUCAUUUAAGAGAAGAAAAAAGAGGAUCCCAAGGAAUGAGCACAAAGGACUCCAUUGCAGUAUAAAGAUCUGCAAAGGAAAAGGAGCUGCUACAACAGUUAUCUGGAUGAGGUUGGGCAGAGUCCAGUCAAUAGCAGGAAAAUCAGGCUGUAGAAGUGGGAACUGGAUAUGGGUUCUAUUGGGAAUUUAAGAUCCUGCUUGUCAGUGCCAGGAGUGGUGGCGCACGCAUUUAAGCCCAGCACUCGGGAGGCAGAGGCAGGCAGAUUUCUGAGUUUGAGGCCAGCCUGGUCUACAGAGUGAGUUCCAGGACAGCCAAGGCUACACAGAGAAACCCUGUCUUGAAAAAGCAAAAAAGCAAAAAAAAAAAAAAAAAAAGAUCCUGCUUGUCCAGGGAGCUGGACUGGGAAACAAAGGACGUAGUAGGCUGAGAAACAUGUGGGUGAGCUGAUGGCACUUUGAGGAGAUGGUCACUGCUGUGUGUGGGGAGGUUUGGAGUUCAAGAAGUCAAGACUGAGUGUAAGAGUGAGGGCAUCCCUCCAUCCUGGGCCUGUGAUGAGCAUCUGGGUGAAGAGGCCUGCGCCAACCCCAGGUACAGGAACAUAAGGAAGUAGUAUCAUCUCCACGUAGGCACGAAGAGGUACUUUAAGGUAUCAGUCACCCACACUUAGGCACCUGGGACUGCCACUGCUUUUCUGGGCUCAGAAGGUAGCCAGGGUGGAGGCAACUGGGAAACAGAAAUCAAAGGUCAUUAAGGAUAACCAAUGUGACCUUGAGGAUUCCUGGGCCUUUACAUCUCAGGGGCAUAAGUUUGACAGGUCUCAAGACCUGAUUCCAUGGGAUCCCACUUACCUCUUGUCUGGUAAUGAUACCACCUUCCAGCUCUCCCCCCCCUCCUCCCCAGUCUGUGGGUUACCCUAGAUUCCCUGCAGCCAGUCUUUCCUGCAGCAGUUUUCUUACCUACCUCAUCUUCUUAGGGCCUGAACCUCUCCAUACUCUAAUGACUAGCCCCAGGCUUAGGUCGCAUGUUAUGGUUUGUAUAUGCUCUGUCAAGAGAGUGGCACUAUUACAAGGUGUGGCCUUAUAGGAGUAGGUGUGUCACUGUGGGCAUGGGCUUUAAGAGCCUCAUCCUGGAAGUCAGUCUUCCACUAACAACCUUCAGAUGAAGAUGUAGAACUCUCAGCUUCUCCUGCACCAUGUCUGCCUGGAUGCUGCCUUGCUUCUGCCUUGAUGAUAAUGGAUUGAACCUCUGAACCUGUAAGCCAGUCCCAAUUAAAUGUUGUCCUUAUAAGA
Molecule: long non-coding RNA, 1812 nt
Filed under: Mus musculus (house mouse)
Lineage: Eukaryota; Metazoa; Chordata; Mammalia; Rodentia; Muridae
Description: predicted gene, 32261, transcript variant 3 (Gm32261)
Source: RNAcentral